GGUCAAGGAGGGUAGUCAGCCUAACUACCCAGCAUGUUACUAAGCAACGCUUCCUCUCAGGUGAUCCUGCACUAACUUGCAUAUUGAUUUGUUAACUAAUUCCAACACCACUUGCAGGAAGCACAGUGGUGAAAUCAAACUGCCAUAGCCAGAAACCUAAACCAGUGAGACUUCCAGCAGGGGAUAAGGUUUUCACAAUUAUGGAGCAUGGGGCAUGGCAACAUUUAUUUUCCUCCCACUGGUGUCAAAAGAGCCAUGUUUGCUUCAUGAAGGUCUGGAAUCCUCCUUGAAGGUGGCAGCAGUGAGCAGAGAUGGGCAAAUCUAUUCAUUUCAUUCCUGCUGGAUUUCUCUGACUGCCCAUUCAUUCCGGUCUGUGUUGGCAUCAGGUUACAAAUGCAGCAAAAUUCAGACCCAGAAAGGGCACCCAGAAAUGUGUAUACAUUUUAGUGUGCAUUUUCUCUAACAGAUGCAUUUUAUGAAGACUAUUCCAAGUGAGUGUCAUUUUUCCCAAGCACUUCUCCAAGAAUAAUGCAUUUUUGCUUCCUUUCCCUUAUUAUGCACAUGUUUAUGGGGACUGUAUCAAUUGCAGACUAGAUUAUAAAAUUCAGAAAUGUGUGGAUUUCCACAUGCAGGUGUAUUCUGGUUUGCCUGUAUGUUCAGCAGGCAAGACAGUUUUGAAGUCCGUAUACAAAUUGCUUUAGACCUAACGAGAGGAUGACAAAUAAUCAGGAAGGGGAUUAAGCAAUCCCUCACUCUCUUUUGCCAGAAACUAUGGCCCCUUCUCACAGACGUCUGCAGAAGAGGAAGGGGCUGUUCACUCCAUGCAGCCUUGUUGUAACAUGUGAUUCAUCCCUAAGAAAACAAGGAACCCACUGAAAACUCCUCUCUCCUCAUAUAUCCAUCAUGGAUUUAAAAUUAAUUUAACAUUCCAGUACUCCAGAGACAUGCUUUAUUGUGGACUUCUCUUAGAACUAAACUUAGCAGGUCAGCAUUCCGCAAUGUUGUAAACUUUGCUUUUUGUUAUAGAAGACAAGAGCUGGGAUAAAAAAAAAAUAAUCCAGACAAUUGUAUCCAAGGUAAUACACGCAGAUAAAGUUUUUUCAUGAACCAUGAUGCUAAGGAGCAGAACUAGCAUACUCUGGCUGUAUGUCUGUGUUGACCCUGGAAGGUGGGUGAUGGAGAAACUGGAAUUUGGACCUUUAAUUCGAAUACAACUCUAAGUAUCAUUCUGCUGCUAUCCUUCAAUAUACUGCAUCUCUCAUGGUGGCAGUAAAUAGCUUAGAAGACACUCAGUGCAUUCUGUUUUGGUUAAACCUCUGUGGAGGAAGGUUAAUUAGCAGUCCCAGUCUUGAGGACAGUAGCAUCUUGAAGGGAGAAAUAUGGAUCUCUUAUAGAAGUCCCAGCACCAUCCUUAAACUACAACUCCCAGGAUUCCUUGAGAGGAACCAGAUUGGUAGUGUAAAUACACCCAUGGUCCCUUGUUCUACUGUGGCUUCAGGUGACUGAUUUCUGUUAAUAUGCAGCCUAGCAACACUUCUGUUACAAAUAAAAUGGACGUUUUUUAAAAAAUAGAAAUGUGCAUGCUUUCGGAAAACCAAACAUUGAUUUCUUUGUAAUGGCUGUUUAAUGCAUUACCAUCACUGUAUUGCUUUAGAUAUAGUGAAAAUUUCCUCCAUAAAAGGAAGGAGGGCUGUUUAUUUUCAAGACAUAAAGGAGAAAAAGGAAAAUAUCAGUGCAAGGAAAAGAAAGUAGCUUAUUCCUUUUACAGAUGCCUGAUUAGUUGGUAUUUUUGUGUGUGUUUAAAUGCAAGGUUCUGCCUGUAUGCAGUAAUGACAUGUACCCUCCAGUUUUCUUGUCUCAUAAUAAACUGUUCUGAACUCCUGCGCUGAGCUAGUUAAGUAUU
Non-coding RNA from Pogona vitticeps (central bearded dragon), 1903 nucleotides. NCBI's taxonomy places the organism in Eukaryota, Metazoa, Chordata, Lepidosauria, Squamata, Agamidae. The record is from RefSeq and is a predicted model, not a curated record.